RNAcentral lists this ribosomal RNA (253 nucleotides) under uncultured bacterium. Its description in RNAcentral is "partial 16S ribosomal RNA". It matches the Rfam family "Bacterial small subunit ribosomal RNA", at positions 524 to 776 of the family's 1533-position model. The record is from RNAcentral.
UACGGGGGGGGUAAGCGUUGUUCGGAAUUACUGGGCGUAAAGGGCUCGUAGGCGGCCAACUAAGUCAGACGUGAAAUCCCUCAGCUUAACUGGGGAACUGCGUCUGAUACUGGAUGGCUUGGAUUUGGGAGAGGAAUGCGGAAUUCCAGGUGUAGCGGUGAAAUGCGUAGAUAUCUGGAGGGACACCGGUGGCGAAGGCGGCAUUCUGGACCAAUAUUGACGCUGAGGAGCGAAAGCCAGGGGGGCAAACGGG